AGAAUCGUUCUAAAAAGAUGGAAUGCUUCACAAAACAAUCGUUAAAAUCAGCACAGAAACAUCUCACCUCUGUGAGCAUUCAAGUACAGGAAUGCAGGUCAGUGAGGAGCAGACAAUGCUGUCGGCUUGUAAACACAGUGCAGUUUCUUGUUAUAAUUACAGCUCCUCUCUUCUCCAGAAUAAAACGUCUGGAUGUAUUCCAAGGAACAAUCUUGGAAGAGAUUGAGAACUUUGAAAAGGAUUCACUGGCUCUAAAAAAUAUGGAGAACGAGUUCACAGUAAGAUGUGAUUAAACUAGAACUUACUCCUUGAGCUGGAAUAUGCUGCACAGUAUGAAGUACAAAUAAAAUCCAAAUAUUUAU
Non-coding RNA from Pelobates cultripes (western spadefoot toad), 362 nucleotides. Lineage: Eukaryota; Metazoa; Chordata; Amphibia; Anura; Pelobatidae. The record is from the annotation of a GenBank genome assembly.